AUCAUCCUCUCCCGCGUGCGACCCGGACGAUAUCCUCCUCCCCAGCAAUCCCGCAGCGCCCUCCAUUCUGGAUCCGCUCCUCUCAGCGCCUCAGCCUCCUCUAGCUGCGUGCGAUCCCGGCCGCUCGUGAUUCUCCCCUAGAUUUCAGCAUCCCGUGACUAUAAGAAGGGAGAGGGGAGCUCGGUUCAAAGGGGGAAAAAAAACGGUUUGAAGAACAGAGGAGAGAUGCUCUGUUCGGGAGAAAAGAAAAGAAAAGAAAAG
This 261-nucleotide long non-coding RNA is filed under the name Phoenix dactylifera (date palm). RNAcentral describes it as "long non-coding RNA (PDAC_LNC020066)". The record is from RNAcentral. Lineage: Eukaryota; Viridiplantae; Streptophyta; Magnoliopsida; Arecales; Arecaceae.